AUUCCAGCUCCAAUAGCGUAUGUUAAAGUUGUUGCGGCUAAAAAGCUCGUAGUUGGAUUUCUGUUGAGGACAUCUGGUCCGCUCUACGAGCGUGUAUCUAGUUUGGCCUCGGCAUCCGCUCUGCAUACGUUUCUGCGCUUGAUUGCGUGGAGCGGAGGUAGGGCCUUUUACUUUGAGGAAUUUAGAGUGUUCACGGCAGGCAGUCGCCCUGAAUAUAUUAGCAUGGAAUAAUAACAUAGGAUCUUGGUUCUAUUUUGUUGGUUUCUAGGACUAAGAUAAUGAUUAAUAGGGACAAUUGGGGGCAUUCGUAUUGCGGUGUCAGAGGUGGAAUUCUUAGAUUACUGCACGACGAACUACUGCGAAAGCAUUUGCCAAGGAUGUUUUCAUCA
RNAcentral lists this ribosomal RNA (389 nucleotides) under Syndiniales sp. RNAcentral describes it as "partial small subunit ribosomal RNA". It matches the Rfam family "Eukaryotic small subunit ribosomal RNA", at positions 582 to 975 of the family's 1831-position model. The record is from RNAcentral. Lineage: Eukaryota; Dinophyceae; Syndiniales.